UACGUAGGGUGCGAGCGUUGUCCGGAAUUAUUGGGCGUAAAGAGCUCGUAGGCGGUCUGUCGCGUCGAUCGUGAAAACUUGGGGCUUAACCCUGAGCUUGCGGUCGAUACGGGCAUGACUGGAGUUCGGCAGGGGAGACUGGAAUUCUUGGUGUAGCGGUGAAAUGCGCAGAUAUCAGGAGGAACACCGGUGGCGAAGGCGGGUCUCUGGGCCGAUACUGACGCUGAGGAGCGAAAGCGUGGGGAGCGAAUGGG
RNAcentral lists this ribosomal RNA (254 nucleotides) under uncultured bacterium. RNAcentral describes it as "partial 16S ribosomal RNA". It matches the Rfam family "Bacterial small subunit ribosomal RNA", at positions 524 to 776 of the family's 1533-position model. The record is from RNAcentral.